UACGGAGGAUGCAAGCGUUAUCCGGAAUUAUUGGGCGUAAAGCGUCCGUAGGUGGUUAAUCAAGUCUAUUGUCAAAGCCUGGGGCUUAACCCUGGAGAGGCGGUGGAAACUGGUUGACUGGAGUGCGGUAGGGGCAGAGGGAAUUCCCAGUGUAGCGGUGAAAUGCGUAGAUAUUGGGAAGAACACCGGUGGCGAAAGCGCUCUGCUGGACCUGCACUGACACUGAGGGACGAAAGCUAGGGGAGCGAAAGGG
RNAcentral lists this ribosomal RNA (253 nucleotides) under uncultured Oculatella sp. RNAcentral describes it as "partial 16S ribosomal RNA". It matches the Rfam family "Bacterial small subunit ribosomal RNA", at positions 524 to 776 of the family's 1533-position model. Lineage: Bacteria; Bacillati; Cyanobacteriota; Cyanophyceae; Oculatellales; Oculatellaceae. The record is from RNAcentral.